UAUUUGACUUUUAUGAAUUUUUUUGCACUUCACCAAACUCAGGCACGUGCUUGCGCCCUGUGCCUUGUGCAUAGGCUCUAAGACCCCUUGGCGCCUUAGUGCGCUUUGCGCAUUUAAUAACUAUGUCUAUGAGGCUUGAGAAAUGACUGAAAAUGAAAAAGCAGAAACGAGGAAUAGGUGAAGAAGAUGAAUGGAUGGGAAGAUGACUAAAUGAGGGGAAAUCAUAUUAUGUGGGUAUGAGGAAGAAGUGAAGAAACUAAUAAGAUGUUAGAUGAGAGAGCAAAAACGAAGAAAGCAUUUUUAAUCAAUAAUGAAAGAGUUGAGGAGAGAAAAAGAGUUUUUUUAUAGGAGAAAAUAAAAACGAUGAAGCAUUGGAUAACAACUAGUAUGGUUCAGUUAGUUUGUUUUUUUCACUGAAUUAACUGAACAAAUCUGAACCCCCCCCCCUCCCCCGGCCCUUCCCCUUUUUAAAUUAACCAAAACCAAACUGAUCAACUGAAAAACUGAAUUAAAUCAUUGUGGUUUUUCAGUUAAAACCGAAUUCUGCUUACCCUUAGUUUGUACUUGUCUCUAAAGACCAGUGCCAAAUUUUUGUUCAUGACACAAACUUGAGAGAGGCAGGUCACAUGAAUAUCUGUGCUAUAUGGUCAAAGAAUCUUAUCAACUAUUGAAUAUGAUGGCUUUUGGUGGUUCUUCUAUUUGCUUUAUUUUUGGUAAUGUGACUAAUUGUUUGUUGGAUAAAUGUGACAGGCAGCUAGGAUGCGUUAUGUUUAUGAAAAUGAACCAUAUUGCCUGAAUUUGAUUGAUACUCCUGGGCAUGUAGACUUCUCAUAUGAGGUAUGUGAAUAUGAUAGGAGUUGUGCUUUUCCUUCAGUAUUGCAAAUCAUAUGCUUUAUAUUUAUGUAUGC
This 908-nucleotide unclassified non-coding RNA is filed under the name Hevea brasiliensis (rubber tree). Lineage: Eukaryota; Viridiplantae; Streptophyta; Magnoliopsida; Malpighiales; Euphorbiaceae. The record is from RNAcentral.